RNAcentral lists this long non-coding RNA (225 nucleotides) under Prunus persica (peach). RNAcentral's name for it is "long non-coding RNA (PPER_LNC005304)". Lineage: Eukaryota; Viridiplantae; Streptophyta; Magnoliopsida; Rosales; Rosaceae. The record is from RNAcentral.
CGUGCAUUGCAUAGUUGUAGAGAUUGGAUUUCACUCAAAACCUACCAAAUGACUCCUCCCACCAUAUGAUCUUGUUCCCUCAGUUUUGGACUCAAUCCGAUAUCGAUUAGUCCAUGACAUUGGAAAAUUCAGGUUCGUACGAAGUUCGUUAUGAAAUGGAAUGGUUGGUGUAUUGCAUAGUUCUAGAGAUUGGACUUCACUCAAAACCCACCAAAUGACUAUUCC